RNAcentral lists this ribosomal RNA (521 nucleotides) under uncultured bacterium. RNAcentral's name for it is "bacterial SSU rRNA". It matches the Rfam family "Bacterial small subunit ribosomal RNA", at positions 8 to 526 of the family's 1533-position model. The record is from RNAcentral.
AGAGUUUGAUCAUGGCUCAGGAUGAACGCUGGCGGCGUGCUUAACACAUGCAAGUCGAACGAGAAUCAAUGGAAAGAGGAUUCGUCCAAUUGAAGUUGAGGAAAGUGGCGGACGGGUGAGUAACGCGUGAGGAACCUGCCUUGGAGUGGGGAAUAACAGCUGGAAACAGCUGCUAAUACCGCAUAAUGCAACUGGGUCGCAUGGCCCUGGUUGCCAAAGAUUUAUCGCUCUGAGAUGGCCUCGCGUCUGAUUAGCUAGUAGGCGGGGUAACGGCCCACCUAGGCGACGAUCAGUAGCCGGACUGAGAGGUUGGCCGGCCACAUUGGGACUGAGACACGGCCCAGACUCCUACGGGAGGCAGCAGUGGGGAAUAUUGGGCAAUGGGCGCAAGCCUGACCCAGCAACGCCGCGUGAAGGAAGAAGGCUUUCGGGUUGUAAACUUCUUUUGUCAGGGACGAAGCAAGUGACGGUACCUGACGAAUAAGCCACGGCUAACUACGUGCCAGCAGCCGCGGUAAUUC